Molecule: ribosomal RNA, 225 nt
Filed under: Triticum aestivum (bread wheat)
Lineage: Eukaryota; Viridiplantae; Streptophyta; Magnoliopsida; Poales; Poaceae
Description: partial small subunit ribosomal RNA
Source: RNAcentral
AUGUCUUUAGGUGUUCUGGUCUGGAAUGUUCGGGGAUUGAAUAGCCCCGCGAGGCGUGCUUCGAUUAGGCUGUUCUUACAGUCCUACAAUGUUUCCUUAGUCUGUUUUCAAGAAUCAAAAUUGGAGGUGGUGGAGGUGUCUAUGGUUCACCAGACUCUGGGGCCGGCCUUUGACGGUUUUGACUUUCUGCCUGCUGAGGGCACCCGUGGUGGCAUUUUGGUGGCU